This 504-nucleotide ribosomal RNA is filed under the name uncultured bacterium. Its description in RNAcentral is "partial 16S ribosomal RNA". It matches the Rfam family "Bacterial small subunit ribosomal RNA", at positions 30 to 523 of the family's 1533-position model. The record is from RNAcentral.
AUUGAACGCUGGCGGCAUGCCUUACACAUGCAAGUCGAACGGCAGCAUGGAGAGCUUGCUCUCUGAUGGCGAGUGGCGAACGGGUGAGUAAAGCAUCGGAACGUACCGUGUAGUGGGGGAUAACGUAGCGAAGGUUACGCUAAUACCGCAUACGCACUGAGGUGGAAAGCAGGGGAUCGUAAGACCUUGCGCUAUACGAGCGGCCGAUGUCAGAUUAGUUAGUUGGUAGGGUAAAGGCCUACCAAGGCGACGAUCUGUAGCGGGUCUGAGAGGAUGAUCCGCCACACUGGAACUGAGACACGGCCCAGACUCCUACGGGGGGCAGCAGUGGGGAAUUUUGGACAAUGGGGGCAACCCUGAUCCAGCCAUGCCGCGUGAGUGAAGAAGGCCUUCGGGUUGUAAAGCUCUUUCGGCCGGGAAGAAAUCGCACAGGCUAAUACCCUGUGUGGAUGACGGUACCGGCAUAAGAAGCACCGGCUAACUACGUGCCAGCAGCCGCAGUAA